ACGUGAUUCAAUGUUUUCUGGCAUUUUUAAUAAUACGAAAUUUUAAACUGAAAGUUUCUACUUAGAACUGCACAAUGUGGUUGACAUAACUGGAAGUAUCAGGAUGUUUACUAGAAGAUUUCACCUCUCUGCUGUUUGUGUUGUUGUUGCUGUCGCCGCUUGCUUUAUUCCUGAUGGAGUGUGCGACCCAGGAUGUGGCGGGGUAGUGACAGAGCAGGCAGGGACCAUCCUAACCCCCAACUACCCGGACAACUACCCCAACAAUGUCGACUGUCACUGGA
Molecule: long non-coding RNA, 281 nt
Organism: Physella acuta
Lineage: Eukaryota; Metazoa; Mollusca; Gastropoda; Physidae
Source: RefSeq, a predicted model, not a curated record